Helianthus annuus (common sunflower) is the source of this 1154-nucleotide long non-coding RNA. RefSeq lists it as uncharacterized. The record is from RefSeq and is a predicted model, not a curated record. NCBI's taxonomy places the organism in Eukaryota, Viridiplantae, Streptophyta, Magnoliopsida, Asterales, Asteraceae. The transcript is spliced from 6 exons.
GACACAUGUCCCCUUCUCCUUUCAUUUGCUACCGUGUUCUUUAUUAAGCUUGUCCACGUCUCCUUUUUCAAAACUGGGCUUUUUUUGUUUCAUGUAUUCCUCCAAACCCUAAUCUUCUCCCUAAAAUAUUCAGCCGUUUCUCAAUCUAUUUUUUUCCUCUCAGUCAAUUGUAAGAUGCUUCUCCUACAUCAAAGAUCUAUUUUUUUCUACUCUUCACCUUCAUCGCAAUCUAACAGGUAUUUGGAGGUUCGAUUUCUGUUGAUUUACUUCGAUUUAUUUGGGGUAAAAUCAUUGCAAGCUUGUGUUCCACAUAUAAGAUAUAUUCUCAUUAGCCCACGUAAGUUCAAUAAGCGGAGCAUCCAACUUCAUUCGUCACCGGAAACUUCAAAUUUCAGUGUUAUUUUCAUCCAUGGCCCCUGUUAACAACAAUGAUGAACACCCACCAAAAUUCAAAGUCAAAGAAUCAUCGGAAGUGGCAAUUGGGGCAGUGUUGCUUCCAAACUCAUUGCCUCCAACACGUUAAAGCUCUCAUCUUUUCAUGAUGAAGUGAAGAUGUGGGUGUUUGAAUAAAUAUUGCCUUGUGGUGAAAAACUCACAGAUGCCAUCAAUCGAACCAAUGAAAAUGUGAAAUAUUUACCGGGGAUUAAGCUUGGGCAUAAUGUUGUUGCUGGCCCAGAUCUUGAAAAUGCCGGUAUCGUUUGGUAACAACUUUUAUUCUAGGAAUGAAAAAAGAAGCGUAUUUCUUCCAUAUUUACAGGAAUUUUAAUAAAAUCUACAUGUAUAAUAUUUCUAAAAUUUUCUUCUACUGUAUCGCUAGAAAUGAAAUAGCACCCGCUAUUUCAUGGCCAUCGCUGAUAGGUGAUUUAAAUGUGUAUCUAUAGUAUUGUUGAGAAUUCCGUAGUUCCUUAUAAUUCGAGCACAUCAUUUGAGUUUAUGUUGAUCAACUUUCAGCUUGGAUAAAGUAUGCCACUGUUGACUCUAAUAGAUUUACUGCAAUGGCUAUUAGCAACAUUGCUUUAGCUGAUAUAGGUGUUCCUAAAUCAUUCUUAGAAUCAUUUCCAAAGAAUGUAAAAGGUAGCUUGGGUGUUCUUAUUCAUUGAUAUAUUUGUUGGAAAAAUAUUGUCAGAAGCAUUUAUGGGUCAGAUGAUACACUC